GCAUUGGUAGUUCAGUGGUAGAAUUCUCACCUUCUAUGCCGGAGACCCAGGUUCGAUUCCCAGCCAAUGCA
RNAcentral lists this transfer RNA (71 nucleotides) under Loxodonta africana (African savanna elephant). It matches the Rfam family "tRNA". Rfam says of the family: Transfer RNA (tRNA) molecules are approximately 80 nucleotides in length. Their secondary structure includes four short double-helical elements and three loops (D, anti-codon, and T loops). Lineage: Eukaryota; Metazoa; Chordata; Mammalia; Proboscidea; Elephantidae. The record is from Rfam by way of RNAcentral.